GUCAACACACAAGUAGAUAUUCAAAUACCAAUACACAUAUACAAAACAAUUGGAUGAGAUUAAUUUGAUGAAUUCGUUGGUUAUACAAAUAGAUGAGGAUAAUGAUGGUGGUGGUGAUUAAUUAACAGGAGAAAGGAAAAGAUAAACACAAAGAAGAAGAAGAAAAAAAUAAAGGCCUAAGUUAAUAUUCAAAACAUAUUAUCAACACACUCACUUACUCUCUCACAUACACAUACACUGAUGGAGGAUAAUCAAAAUUAAAUCUCAUUGUCUGAUGGUCAACACUGAAUAUAAUUAUAAGCCAACCUUUCUGGUGACCAGUAACUGAAUGAAUGAAUGAAAAAGUGACCACUAACAACAAACAGACCAAGUUGUCCUGGUUAGUUUGACCUGAGGCUGUUUAACUGGUUAACCUGAGGAUGGAUGAUGAUACUUGAUGUUAAGCCUGAUUUUUUUUUUCUUCAAGAUUACUACUGAUACUGAUUAACAUGAGAAUUUGAUCUGGUCAACCAGAAAUACCCGUUUUUAUGAUCAAAUUGAUGGGUCAACACCGUUACAAGUGUAGAUAUAUAUGUAUACAUAUCAUUAGAUGUUUAUAUGUAUGAUAUUAAUACGUUCAGGUUAUCUCGUAUUGAUGAUUGGUUUAUCUUGGAACUGGAUUAAAUCAAAUUAAUCGUUAUUGGUUUACCAUGACAAUAUUUGGAUAAAUUUAAAAUUUUUCAACUACUUCAACUAAACUAUUACCAUUUAAUUAAGUUAAGCCCAUAAUUACAAUUAACAAGAAAAAUUAACUCAGUUGAAUGGCGCAAAUUUAGUGUCUUGAUUGGCAAUAACAAUUUAAAAACAGAGUAAAGUUAAUAUCUGAACCUUCAGGAGGAGCCAGAAUAAAUUAUAAUUAAUCUAAAUCAUAUUGAGGAGAGAUGUCAAUGAUUAAUUAUCUACUAUUAUCAUGGUUACGUUAAUUUUGUUUGUUCCUGUUUUUUUUGAUGAUUAGUUUUCCAACCACCAAUACAAUAUAAUGUACCAAAGAUGAAACCAAUCCCAGAGAAUCAGAUGAUUAAUAGACAUGGUAACAUAUUCAUUGAUUGUUGGAAACAUUUGGAAAGACGAAUUGAUGGCGAACAUGAUAAAAUUGGUGAAACAAUUUUCCAUUGAUUUGAUUGUGAUGAUGGAAAGAAUUGAUUGUUUUCCUUUGCUAUGGAGAGACUAUUUCUCAUUUCUUGUUCGUGAUUCUUUCACCUUGAUUCUUUGAUUAAUAUGGAAGGUGAUAAAUAUUUCAUGAUGAACAUGAUUCUCGCAGAUGAUUAGAUUAAUUUCUUACCUUCACGAAGAG
Long non-coding RNA from Panonychus citri (citrus red mite), 1333 nucleotides. RefSeq lists it as uncharacterized. The record is from RefSeq and is a predicted model, not a curated record. The transcript has 4 exons. Lineage: Eukaryota; Metazoa; Arthropoda; Arachnida; Trombidiformes; Tetranychidae.